Long non-coding RNA from Megalobrama amblycephala (Wuchang bream), 887 nucleotides. RefSeq lists it as uncharacterized. The record is from RefSeq and is a predicted model, not a curated record. NCBI's taxonomy places the organism in Eukaryota, Metazoa, Chordata, Actinopteri, Cypriniformes, Xenocyprididae. The transcript is spliced from 6 exons.
GGGUCAUUAUGGCUGAGAUAUUACCAAAGAGGAAAAGGUCAGAAGAAUAUUAUUGGAAAAAGAAGGGUUGCGAUCAGCCAAGAGCUAGGACACGCAUUAAUAUUGGAAAGAUUUCCAGUUAGAGAGCCUCUGAGGUUGCUUUGUUUCUGCUCGAUAUGACUGCUUUAAAACAGAGCCGUGCUGUGGUGCAGUUAGGACACCUGAUCAGAUUGGGCACGCAGGUGAUGCUGGGAGUUGUGGAGGUGAAGGGAGACGCCACUGAAGCCUCCAGCUCUGACAGGGAGAUUCCAGCAUGAGCUCUCUUCAGUGCCUGAGCAACAAACAGACAGACGUCAUUAGCUACACAUGACACUUUCUGAACACAUGACAGGUGUAAAAGACACAUAACCUCUGAACAGCCGUCUGUGUGCCAACGCGAUGACCCGGAAGCCCUGUUUGGUGUAGUCCUCCAAAACCUCUGCAAAAUCCUCUGGUACUGUGGCUUGCCACAACCUCUGGUGCUCCUUUCAGAUAGGCGUCCAUGCGUCUCUCUCCAAUCUGACGAACGACCACGCUCAUUCUUUGCAGGGUGGAGGAGAAUGAGAACUGCCGCACAAUACCGAUCAUAUAGGACGCCUGCACGAAAAACAUCAUGUCACCAUCCACACCCUUCUUGUCCCGCUGAGGGUUCGGAAGAUCUGUCUUGGUGACCGGAACGCUCUCGCCUAACGGCAGGAAAUGAGAGAGGAGAACAUAGAAAUAUCUGUUCCACAGAUGAGCACUGCGUCACAUGGCAUGAUGGUCCCGUUGCUGGGGAUAACGAUGACAUCACCGGGGACCAAGUCUGUGGACAGGGCUUCCUCCGUUUCUGUACAGCAAAAACAGAAGCCAAAGAGAGGGAGGGUGGG